Molecule: long non-coding RNA, 307 nt
Filed under: Ananas comosus (pineapple)
Lineage: Eukaryota; Viridiplantae; Streptophyta; Magnoliopsida; Poales; Bromeliaceae
Description: long non-coding RNA (ACOM_LNC034554)
Source: RNAcentral
UCUACGAGCUUCGGAUAGAGUAUUGGCGUGAGGAUUUCGCGUGAGGCCGUGGAUUCGGUGGACGCUUGAGGAUUCGAGGCGUUGUUGCUGCGAGGAUUUGCAGUGUGAUCGAUUGGAGAAGUUCGAUCGAUCGAGGACCGACGAAGACGAUUUACGACGAGGAUUCGAUGAAAGUUGGGUCGUGUAUUUGGUAAAUCACUUUGUACUCAAUUUUUAAUAGUGGAUUGUUUCGUGUGAUCAGUCCCGUGGGUUUUUUUCUCCGAGUUGGAGUUUUCCCACGUUAAAUCUCGGUGUGUUGAUUUUAUUU